CAUACGGGACGCAGCAGUAGGGAAUCUUCCACAAUGGACGAAAGUCUGAUGGAGCAACGCCGCGUGAGUGAAGAAGGGUUUCGGCUCGUAAAGCUCUGUUGGUAGUGAAGAAAGAUAGAGGUAGUAACUGGCCUUUAUUUGACGGUAAUUACUUAGAAAGUCACGGCUAACUACGUGCCAGCAGCCGCGGUAAUACGUAGGUGGCAAGCGUUGUCCGGAUUUAUUGGGCGUAAAGCGAGUGCAUGCGGUUUAAUAAGUCUUAUGUGAAA
This 269-nucleotide ribosomal RNA is filed under the name uncultured bacterium. RNAcentral's name for it is "partial 16S ribosomal RNA". It matches the Rfam family "Bacterial small subunit ribosomal RNA", at positions 338 to 599 of the family's 1533-position model. The record is from RNAcentral.